Molecule: ribosomal RNA, 1458 nt
Filed under: metagenome
Description: bacterial SSU rRNA
Rfam family: Bacterial small subunit ribosomal RNA
Source: RNAcentral
GUUUGAUCCUGGCUCAGGAUAAACGCUGGCGGCGUGCCUAAUACAUGCAAGUCGAACGGAGGUAAGUAGCAAUACGUACCUUAGUGGCGAAUGGGUGAGUAACGCGUUGGUGACCUGCCCCGAAGUGCGGGAUAACAACUCGAAAGGGUUGCUAAUACCGGAUGUGGUCAUUGGGUUUAGAAGCUGAUGACUAAAGCAGCAAUGCGCUUCGGGAGGGGCCUGCGUCCCAUCAGCUAGUUGGUAGGGUAACGGCCUACCAAGGCUCCGACGGGUAGGGGACCUGAGAGGGUGGCCCCCCACACUGGCACUGAAACACGGGCCAGACACCUACGGGUGGCAGCAGUAGGGAAUAUUGCACAAUGGGCGAAAGCCUGAUGCAGCAACGCCGCGUGCGCGAUGAAGGCCUUCGGGUCGUAAAGCGCUUUUGGAGGAGAUGAGGCAGGACAGUAUCCUCAGAAUAAGGAUCGGCUAACUACAUGCCAGCAGCCGCGGUAAAACGUAGGAUCCGAGCGUUAUCCGAAUUUACUGGGCGUAAAGCGCGUGCAGGCGGUUUGGUAAGUUGGAUGUGAAAGCUCCUGGCUCAACCGGGAGAGGCCGUUCAAAACUACCAGACUAGAGGGCGGUAGAGGGAGGUGGAAUUCCCGGUGUAGUAGUGAAAUGCGUAGAUAUCGGGAGGAACACCUGUGGCGAAAGCGGCCUCCUGGACCGUUCCUGACGCUCAGACGCGAAAGCUAGGGGAGCGAACGGGAUUAGAAACCCCGGUAGUCCUAGCCGUAAACGAUGCAGACUAGGCGUCGGUGGGGUAAAAGCCAUCGGUGCCGUAGCUAACGCGUUAAGUCUGCCGCCUGGGGACUACGGCCGCAAGGUUAAAACUCAAAGGAAUUGACGGGGGCCCGCACAAGCAGCGGAGCGUGUGGUUUAAUUCGUUAUACGCGAAGAACCUUACCCGGGUUUGACAUACAGGUAGUAGGGAGCAGAGAUGUGACCGACCCUUCGGGGAGCCCGAACAGGUGCUGCAUGGCUGUCGUCAGCUCGUGUCGUGAGAUGUCCGGUUAAGUCCGGUAACGAGCGCAACCCUCGCUGCGUGUUACAUGUGUCACGCGGGACUGCCGGUAUCAAGCCGGAGGAAGGUGGGGAUGACGUCAAGUCAGCAUGGCCUUUAUAUCCGGGGCUACACACACGCUACAAUGGCCAGUACAAUGGGUUGCAAAACCGCGAGGUGGAGCCAAUCCCCAAAGCUGGCCUCAGUUCAGAUCGUAGGCUGCAACUCGCCUACGUGAAGCCGGAGUUGCUAGUAACCGCGCGUCAGCAUUAGUGCGGUGAAUACGUUCCCGGGCCUUGUACACACCGCCCGUCACGUCAUGGGAGCUGGUAACACCUGAAGCCGGUAUCCUAACCCGUAAGGGAGGGAGCUGUCGAGGGUGGGACUGGUGACUGGGACGAAGUCGUAACAAGGUA